RNAcentral lists this transfer RNA (69 nucleotides) under Phrynomantis microps. RNAcentral describes it as "tRNA-Glu". It matches the Rfam family "tRNA". From Rfam's summary of the family: Transfer RNA (tRNA) molecules are approximately 80 nucleotides in length. Their secondary structure includes four short double-helical elements and three loops (D, anti-codon, and T loops). The record is from RNAcentral. Lineage: Eukaryota; Metazoa; Chordata; Amphibia; Anura; Microhylidae.
GUUCUUGUAGUUGAAGUACAGCGACAGUUUUUCAGACUGUUGGUCUAGGUUAGAUUCCUGGCAGGAAUU